GACGUAGGGCGCGAGCGUUGUCCGGAUUUAUUGGGCGUAAAGAGCUCGUAGGCGGCUUGUCGCGUCGACCGUGAAAACUUGGGGCUCAACCCCAAGCCUGCGGUCGAUACGGGCAGGCUAGAGUUCGGUAGGGGAGACUGGAAUUCCUGGUGUAGCGGUGAAAUGCGCAGAUAUCAGGAGGAACACCGAUGGCGAAGGCAGGUCUCUGGGCCACUACUGACGCUGAGAAGCGAAAGCAUGGGGAGCGAACAGG
RNAcentral lists this ribosomal RNA (253 nucleotides) under uncultured bacterium. Its description in RNAcentral is "partial 16S ribosomal RNA". It matches the Rfam family "Bacterial small subunit ribosomal RNA", at positions 524 to 776 of the family's 1533-position model. The record is from RNAcentral.